This is a long non-coding RNA of Rosa chinensis, 1226 nucleotides long. RefSeq lists it as uncharacterized. The record is from RefSeq and is a predicted model, not a curated record. NCBI's taxonomy places the organism in Eukaryota, Viridiplantae, Streptophyta, Magnoliopsida, Rosales, Rosaceae. The transcript is spliced from 4 exons.
UCCAUCUUCGUCUUCAACCUGCAACCUGCCGCCACCACCAACCUCUACCUCUUCGCAACCUCUGAUGAUCAUCACCUAAAAAUUAAAGCAAAACUUUUAACUUUAGGGUUAGCAGGAGGCGGCGACUGAGGCACAGAAUAAUUACAGGCUCAUCUCUUCUUCUUGACUCAUCACCUUGGUCGCCGUUGGCAUCGACGGCGUUUUAAGCGGAGGCAGCCAGGAGACUGCUGGGGUGGAAGGUGGCUGUGUCAGUGAGGACCUCGGAGAAGUCGAACCGUCGAAGCUGGAGAGGGGGUAAGAGAAGAUAAACAGUGCAAGUUGAUGAGAGGGUUCUCUCCUCUCACGUGGCAAGUUAAGGAGUGAGUGUGGCUGAUACACACUCGGGUGAGCGUGAGCCUAGCAUCCCCCAUGUUUCAUGUACUGGCUAACCCCUGUGAUAAUGUCUCAACACCGAUUCAUAUUCAUUAUGAAACCCUUUUUUGAGACAUGCUUCUAUUAUGGUCUGCUAGAGGUGCUCUUGGAGACUGCCUGGAGCAUACUGAAGAUCAUUGCUUCAUUAUGAUGGAUCGACUUUAGAAAGAAGACAUAACCUAUCCUGCUAAUAUGCAAGGUGGUGAUUUUGCUCAAGAUGCUUAUGAUGAAGCUCUCAUGGAUGGCAAACUGCUCAAAGAAGGAGAAACACAUCCGGCUCUCAACUUAGAUUUUAUAAUUCUAAAGAACUUCCAAUCUUGAUUUUUGCUGAGGCAGCUAGUGGUGGAGCCUCUAAUCUUGAUUUCCCACUAAGGCAUGGUCUUAAUAUGAUUGUAAAUGAGGAAGAAAAUCGAUCUGGACCAACUCAGUACACUCAGGAACAGAAUCAAGAUUAUGUUAUGGAAGGGAAAGAGAAUAUGGAUGAGAAUUUUGAGCCAGCCCUAUCUGAUCAUGGCCUUCCUAACCAAGAGGAUCUUGAGCAUGCUGCCAUAGCUUCUCCUCCAACCAAUAAAAGUCCUAGAAAAAGCAGCAGCAAUUUUUCUGACAAGGAAGCAAAUGAUCACAAUGCCUCCUCUAAUGAAUCAUCUGCUUCUGCAACAGCUGGAAAAUGAAGAUAGCAGGAUGAAACUGUAGGGGCUGUGCUAAGGAUCGUUUUCUUAGCCAAGCCCUCUUUUCGCAAAAAAAAUUGUCUUUGGAUAUUUUUUGUAUGUUGGACACUAAGCUAACUGCGACUGCUGCUACUACUUUAAUUUCUA